GCUAACUUGUAUAUAUGGUAAGGAGAAACAUGGAAAAGAAAUAGAAAAGAGAUUGGGUUGUACAUUUGGCAAAAUAUGAGAAGGAAACCUUGUUGUCAUGUCUUGUAAAAUCCCUGUAAUCCUUGGAUAUAGGGUCGUGCCAAGCUCAACUCAUCUCUAAUCUCAAUCAUCAAUGGUCAGCGUUGAUUAAGAGUCCUAGUCCCGGCAAUCCUCUCCUCUGCGGUUCCUCUACCUCCCCAAGCAAGAGCCUGGAAAAGCCUGAAUCCUGAAACCUUCAAACACUGUCUUCCCUGGAACUCAUUCCGUUUCCUGAUUUCUAACUCACUCCCUUCUUCGACUUCAUUCAUACACAAAACAUGAGCCCUAUAAAGAAAUCUGCAUCUGCGCCCCUUCUCCAUUUGCGUCCUUUAGGGAGAGGAACGCCUGCUUUCAAGCCUUCCCUUUUCGAAACGAUGCGUCGUUGGGCUUUUACCAUCCUUAUUUUUGCUUCCAUUUCCAUUUUCCUCUGUGUUUCUUUCUCUCUUUGCUCGUCUCGCAACCCCAUGUAUGCAACCCAACUCAUUUUUCCCUCUGCCAACAUCUCCAACACCGAUUCUUCUCUUCUUGCCAUCAAAGAAGACCAAAAUAGCCCCACUCGUCGUGUUUCUUCCUUUCAAGAUUCUAAUUCUAUUGCUUCUGUCUCCGUUUUGUUGCCGGAAUGGCAGGUUCUCGUCAUCAUCUCGCCGGACGCGGACCCUUUGCCGCUUUCCGUCGGGAAUUUCACCUGUCUUUAUGCCAACAACGCCACUGCUCCUGCCAGAUUCUCUGGAAUCUUGUCUUCCACGAACCAAACUACUUUCAAGUGUAUUCUUCCCAGAAGCAUACGGCGUCGAUUGCCUUUCGCGGCUCCAAUGUUGAUGGAAUCAUCGGAGAAGGAAUCGCCCGUUCAUUGGCCGUAUUCUCCACCGCAAGAAUUGCUCAGGUGGACAUACCUUGUGUACGAGUCGUUCUCCACAGUGGACGACGUCGUUCUCUUCGUUAAAGGCCCGAACAACCGCCAAGGAAUCAACAGGUCUCCUAGCGAAUUCAAGUGCGUGUUCGUCGACGAGGCCAGCAGCAAAACCGUUAAAACCGCCGUUACGAGCUCAAUACAAGAGGUGUUCAGGUGUGAUCAUCCAGAUUUAACGGCUUUUGGUUCUGGCGGGGAUAAUGACGCAAUCAAAAUCAAAAUCUUUCUUGAAACCAUGGGCACAGGGCCAAAAAAGGUAGUUCCUUCCGUAGCGUACUACACCCCUCGGGACAAGAUAGCAAAAGAACAGCCAAAAUCCCAACUGUGCGCCUCCACCAUGGUUUACAACGUGGGAAAGUUCUUGAGAGAAUGGAUCAUGUACCAUUCAAAGAUUGGCGUGGAAAAGUUCAUAUUAUACGAUAAUGACAGUGAUGAUGAUUUGAUCAGCGUGGUUAAUGAUCUUAAUCAAGAGGGUUAUAACGUAGAAACGUUAUUAUGGACGUGGCCUAAGACUCAAGAAGCUGGAUUUUCCCAUGCUGCAGUAUACGCAAAAGACUCAUGCAAUUGGAUGAUGUACAUAGAUGUUGAUGAAUUUGUGUUCGCACCAUCAUGGGAUAAUUCAACUCAACCCUCUGAUCAAAUGCUAAAAUCUUUGCUGCCGUCAUCUUCCCAUGGCCACCGCCAUAUGAUUGGAGAAGUUUCGAUAAUGUGCAACGAAUUUGGUCCGUCGCAGCAAAGGUCGCACCCAGAGGAGGGGGUGACACAAGGGUACACUUGUAGAAGAAAGGUAGAGAAUCGGCACAAGUCUAUAGUCUUAUUAGAAGCAAUCGAUGAUUCUUUGCUUAACGUGAUACACCAUUUUAGUUUAAAGAAAAGUUAUAGAAUGAAGCAUUUGAGUUUGGAAGCUGCGGUGGUGAACCAUUACAAGUACCAAGCGUGGUUGGAGUUUAAAGCCAAGUUUAGGAGAAGAGUAUCGGCUUAUGUGGUGGAUUGGAUGAGUGCAUUGAACCCUUUGUCCAAGGACAGAACCCCAGGAUUAGGGUACGAAGCAGUGGAGCCACAAGGGUGGGAAAACAAGUUCUGUGAGGUGAGAGAUGAGAGAUUGAAGUUGCUGACACAGAGAUGGUUUCGUACAGAAACAGAAAGAGGAUACAAAAUGGCAUGGCAAAGUUGAUUUUCAAUUUAUACAAUUGCAGGAGUUGUAGCAUGACAUGAAGGGUUCGGUUCAAGAGAAACCCUAUUGACCUUUUCUUUUUUCUGUAUCUUUUCUGGUAAUGUAUUAUAUUAGGAGUUGACGACAUGUACCCAAGAAUGACUUAAAAAUUGGAUGACUGAUUCUCUAAGGUUUUAGUCUUCUGGACGUUAAAUAUGUG
RNAcentral lists this unclassified non-coding RNA (2361 nucleotides) under Hevea brasiliensis (rubber tree). Lineage: Eukaryota; Viridiplantae; Streptophyta; Magnoliopsida; Malpighiales; Euphorbiaceae. The record is from RNAcentral.